Molecule: ribosomal RNA, 587 nt
Filed under: uncultured bacterium
Lineage: Bacteria
Description: partial 16S ribosomal RNA
Rfam family: Bacterial small subunit ribosomal RNA
Source: RNAcentral
UGGGGAAUUUUGGACAAUGGGCGAAAGCCUGAUCCAGCAAUGCCGCGUGUGUGAAGAAGGCCUUCGGGUUGUAAAGCACUUUUGUCCGGAAAGAAAUCCUUGGCUCUAAUACAGUCGGGGGAUGACGGUACCGGAAGAAUAAGCACCGGCUAACUACGUGCCAGCAGCCGCGGUAAUACGUAGGGUGCAAGCGUUAAUCGGAAUUACUGGGCGUAAAGCGUGCGCAGGCGGUUUGCUAAGACCGAUGUGAAAUCCCCGGGCUCAACCUGGGAACUGCAUUGGUGACUGGCAGGCUAGAGUAUGGCAGAGGGGGGUAGAAUUCCACGUGUAGCAGUGAAAUGCGUAGAGAUGUGGAGGAGUACCGAUGGCGAAGGCAGCCCCCUGGGCCAAAUACUGACGCUCAUGCACGAAAGCGUGGGGGAGCAAACAGGAUUAGAUACCCUGGUAGUCCACGCCCUAAACGAUGUCAACUAGUUGUUGGGGAUUCAUUUCCUUAGUAACGUAGCUAACGCGUGAAGUUGACCGCCUGGGGAGUACGGUCGCAAGAUUAAAACUUAAAUGAAUUGACGGGGUCAUAGCUGUUUCCU